Molecule: ribosomal RNA, 457 nt
Filed under: uncultured bacterium
Lineage: Bacteria
Description: partial 16S ribosomal RNA
Rfam family: Bacterial small subunit ribosomal RNA
Source: RNAcentral
UGGGGAAUAUUGCACAAUGGGCGCAAGCCUGAUGCAGCCAUGCCGCGUGUGUGAAGAAGGCCUUCGGGUUGUAAAGCACUUUCAGCGAGGAGGAAGGUGGUGAGCUUAAUACGCUCAUCAAUUGACGUUACUCGCAGAAGAAGCACCGGCUAACUCCGUGCCAGCAGCCGCGGUAAUACGGAGGGUGCAAGCGUUAAUCGGAAUUACUGGGCGUAAAGCGCACGCAGGCGGUUUGUUAAGUCAGAUGUGAAAUCCCCGGGCUCAACCUGGGAACUGCAUUUGAAACUGGCAAGCUAGAGUCUCGUAGAGGGGGGUAGAAUUCCAGGUGUAGCGGUGAAAUGCGUAGAGAUCUGGAGGAAUACCGGUGGCGAAGGCGGCCCCCUGGACGAAGACUGACGCUCAGGUGCGAAAGCGUGGGGAGCAAAACAGGAUUAGAUACCCUGGUAGUCCACGCUGU